AUUGAACGCUGGCGGCAGGCUUAACACAUGCAAGUCGAGCGGAGGCUUCGGUCUUAGCGGCGAACGGGUGAGUAAUACCUAGGAAUCUGCCUAUUAGUGGGGGAUAACGAAUCGAAAGGUUCGCUAAUACCGCAUACGUCCUACGGGAGAAAGGGGGGGAUCUUCGGACCUCUCGCUAAUAGAUGAGCCUAGGCCGGAUUAGCUAGUUGGUAGGGUAAAGGCCUACCAAGGCGACGAUCUGUAGCUGGUCUGAGAGGAUGGCCAGCCACACUGGAACUGAGACACGGUCCAGACUCCUACGGGAGGCAGCAGUGGGGAAUAUUGGACAAUGGGGGCAACCCUGAUCCAGCCAUGCCGCGUGUGUGAAGAAGGCC
Molecule: ribosomal RNA, 374 nt
Filed under: uncultured bacterium
Lineage: Bacteria
Description: bacterial SSU rRNA
Rfam family: Bacterial small subunit ribosomal RNA
Source: RNAcentral